UACGUAGGGGGCAAGCGUUGUCCGGAAUCAUUGGGCGUAAAGCGCGUGUAGGCGGCUCGAUAAGUCUGCUGUGAAAGUCCAGGGCUCAACCCUGGGAUGCCGGUGGAUACUGUCGAGCUCGAGUCCGGAAGAGGCGGGUGGAAUUCCUGGUGUAGCGGUGAAAUGCGCAGAUAUCAGGAGGAACACCAAUGGCGAAGGCAGCUCGCUGGGACGUGACUGACGCUGAGACGCGAAAGCGUGGGGAGCAAACAGG
Molecule: ribosomal RNA, 253 nt
Filed under: uncultured bacterium
Lineage: Bacteria
Description: partial 16S ribosomal RNA
Rfam family: Bacterial small subunit ribosomal RNA
Source: RNAcentral